RNAcentral lists this ribosomal RNA (506 nucleotides) under uncultured Bacillota bacterium. RNAcentral describes it as "bacterial SSU rRNA". It matches the Rfam family "Bacterial small subunit ribosomal RNA", at positions 399 to 896 of the family's 1533-position model. Lineage: Bacteria; Bacillati; Bacillota. The record is from RNAcentral.
GCGUGAGCGAAGAAGGCCUUCGGGUCGUAAAGCUCUGUUGUUAGGGAAGAACAAGUAUCGGAGUAACUGCCGGUACCUUGACGGUACCUAACCAGAAAGCCACGGCUAACUACGUGCCAGCAGCCGCGGUAAUACGUAGGUGGCAAGCGUUGUCCGGAAUUAUUGGGCGUAAAGCGCGCGCAGGCGGUCCUUUAAGUCUGAUGUGAAAGCCCACGGCUCAACCGUGGAGGGUCAUUGGAAACUGGGGGACUUGAGUGCAGAAGAGGAGAGUGGAAUUCCACGUGUAGCGGUGAAAUGCGUAGAGAUGUGGAGGAACACCAGUGGCGAAGGCGACUCUCUGGUCUGUAACUGACGCUGAGGCGCGAAAGCGUGGGGAGCAAACAGGAUUAGAUACCCUGGUAGUCCACGCCGUAAACGAUGAGUGCUAAGUGUUAGAGGGUUUCCGCCCUUUAGUGCUGCAGCUAACGCAUUAAGCACUCCGCCUGGGGAGUACGGCCGCAAGGCUG